RNAcentral lists this ribosomal RNA (420 nucleotides) under Triticum aestivum (bread wheat). Its description in RNAcentral is "partial small subunit ribosomal RNA". The record is from RNAcentral. Lineage: Eukaryota; Viridiplantae; Streptophyta; Magnoliopsida; Poales; Poaceae.
AUGCCAUACAUGCAGAGUAUUCAGUUGGAUGAGUUCCAUGAACUCGUUCGGUCGGGAUACAUAAAAUUGGAUAUCAUGUUUGUGAUUAACCAUUACAAGUUUGCCUGUAUGUCUUGCCUCGGUAUGGGCCAUUGUUUCAGUAAUUGUCAUAUUGGGCCAAGAUGUCUCUCUUGCUUUGAGCUUGGUCAUAUACCUGCUUCUUGUUACGAUCGUCGAUUCUCUAGUCAACAGAAUAUAUCUCCGCGGAAUAAUUACGUCUUCAAGAGAAACAAUUGUAACAAUUUAAUCUGGUUCCCAAACAUCAGUCUUUCUGCCCGAGGUGUCUGCAAUUGGGCCAUUCUUACCUGGGAUGUAGGCAAACCCCGCGAUGUCAAUUCUGUUCGGCUUAUGGGCAUUCUGUUGUUGGCUAUUGGCGGGUGA